GAUGAACGCUGGCGGCGUGCCUAAUACAUGCAAGUCGAGCGAACGGACGAGAAGCUUGCUUCUCUGAUGUUAGCGGCGGACGGGUGAGUAACACGUGUAUAACCUACCUAUAAGACUGGGAUAACUUCGGGAAACCGGAGCUAAUACCGGAUAAUAUUUUGAACCGCAUGGUUCAAAAGUGAAAGACGGUCUUGCUGUCACUUAUAGAUGGAUCCGCGCUGCAUUAGCUAGUUGGUAAGGUAACGGCUUACCAAGGCAACGAUGCAUAGCCGACCGGAGAGGGUGAUCGGCCACACUGGAGCUUAGCCACGGUCCAGACUCCUACGGGAGGCAGCAGUAGGGAAUCUUCCGCAAUGGGCGAAAGCCUGACGGAGCAACGCCGCGUGAGUGAUGAAGGUCUUCGGAUCGUAAAGCUCUGUUAUUAGGGAAGAACAUAUGUGUAAGUAACUGUGCACAUCUUGACGGUACCUAAUCAGAAAGCCACGGCUAACUACGUG
RNAcentral lists this ribosomal RNA (497 nucleotides) under uncultured bacterium. RNAcentral's name for it is "partial 16S ribosomal RNA". It matches the Rfam family "Bacterial small subunit ribosomal RNA", at positions 28 to 507 of the family's 1533-position model. The record is from RNAcentral.